This 1166-nucleotide unclassified non-coding RNA is filed under the name Hevea brasiliensis (rubber tree). Lineage: Eukaryota; Viridiplantae; Streptophyta; Magnoliopsida; Malpighiales; Euphorbiaceae. The record is from RNAcentral.
AUGAAAAGGGAAGCUGCUUCAAUACGCAUACAGAAACAUGCGCGUUCUCAUUCAGCAAGAAAAUCUUACAAGGAAUUACAGGCAGCAGCUGUAGUCAUUCAAACAGGGAUGAGAGCUAUGGCAGCACGAAAUGAAUAUAGGCAGAGGAGGAGAAAUAAAGCAGCUAAAAUAGUUCAGACUCAAUGGAGAGGAUUCCAUGCCUUCUCAACUUAUAAACAGAAGAAAAAAGCAAGUCUUUCACUUCAAUGUCUCUGGAGAGGCAGGUUAGCGAGGAAGGUGCUUCGGAAAUUGAGGAUGGAUGCAAGAGAUACUGGGGCACUUAAAGAAGCAAAGGAUAAACUGGAAAAGCGUGUCGAGGAGUUAACAUGGCGAUUAGAUUUUGAAAAACACUUGAGGACUGAUCUCGAAGAAGCAAAGGGGCAAGAAAUUUCAAAAUUGCAAAAAGCCUUACAAGAAAUGCAAAUGCAACUAGAUGAAGCCCAUGAUGCAAUUAUUCAUGAGAAAGAAGCAGCAAAGAUAGCCAUUGAACAAGCUCCUCCAGUUAUCAAGGAGGUACCAGUGAUUGACAACACCAAAGUAGAGAAGCUGACAGAUGAAAACAACAAACUCGAGGAUGAAAUCAGAGAGCUCAAGAAGAGAGUAGAAGACUUUGAACAGAGCUACAAUGAAGUUGAAAAAGAAUGCCAGGCCACACGUAAAGAGGCAGAAGAAUCUCAGCUGAGAGUUUCGGAGCUCCAAGAGUCCAUAGAAAGAUUACAACUGAAUCUAUCCAACCUUGAAUCUGAGAAUCAGGUUCUCCGCCAGCAGGCUUUAGUAGCAUCAACAAAUGAGGCCCUCUCUGAGGAAAUGGACAUACUCAAGAACAAGAUUAAAGACUUGGAGUCAGAAAACGAGCUUCUCCGCACUCAAAGGGUAGUUGUGGAGCGAGUAGUAAGUUCUGAUGAUCGGGCACCUAAAGGGCUUGAGACUGUUGAUAUCACACAUCCAGCUGAUAAUGGACAUCAAACAGAGGAAGUGCAUGAAGAAAUGAAAGUAGAACAACAAAUAUCAAAGGAUUCUAGCCCUCCCAUCUCUUUAACUAAGCAAAGAUCCUUGACGGAUAGGCAGCAGGAAAACCAUGAUAUACUGAUCAAGUGCCUUGCGGAAGACAAGCGAUUUGACAAGGG